GGAGGAAAAGGAGAUGGAAGAGGAGAAAGAGGAAGAGGAAGAUGAGUGACAAAUAACCUACUGAACAGUCCGUAUCUGUGACAAGGCGUGAGGACGGAGGGGAAGGCCACGCCGGAGAUGGAGGCUGCUGAUAUCUUAGCACAGGAGCUACUGAAGUGAGUUCACGCUUUGCAUUUUUAUCAUCCAUAUAUGCCAUUCCCUAUUUAAAAGGAAGAAGAAGGAAGGAAGGAAGAGAGGGAGAAAGAGAAAGAGAGAGAGAGAGAGAGAGAGAGAGAGAGAGAGAGAGAGAGAGAGAGAAGCAGAGAGAGAACCCUGAAGAGAGUCCUGCUUGGGGACGCUGAGGCUAACAGUUCUGUGCCCUCUACCUUCCUUCUUCCUUUCACACCUGAAGAGUUCAGAAGAUGCGCAGGAAUGCAGAACAUUUCAAGCAGCUGUAAGAAUCUCCAUUCUUGGUCAUUCCUAAGCAGUGGCCUGCUGGGGAUGUGUGUUAAGGAGCCUUCAUCAGCAUUUUCAAAAUUGAACCCUCCAACUCCCACUGGCGUUGACUUCUUAGUUUGGUGUCUGUCACUGUGAUAAACACCGGGGCAAAAAUGAACCGGGAAGCAUUGAUUUGUCCUUCCAGUCCCACUCCAUCCUUGAGGGAAGCCAAGGUAGGCACUCAAGGAGGGAGCCUGAAGCAGAGAGCGGAAAGAAAGGCUGCUUGCUGGCCAUGUAGAUCUCAGCCAGCACUCUCAGACAGGCCUGGGCCAACUGCCCAGGGUGGCACCACUCACAGGGUGCAGGGCCCUCCCACAUCAAUCAGCAAUCAAAAAUUGCCCCUACUGACAUGUCCACAUAGCAUCUGAUUGAGGCAAUUCCUCAAUAGAGGUUCCCUUUUCUCAGGCGUAUCAACUGCAAGCCAAGACUGCGUCUCAGGGUUCUGUACGCAAGUCAUCAGAAAAAUAAGCACUGCAAAGUGCAGAGAGAAGAUGGACCCUGGACUGGACGGAGAUGGAGGUGGUUGGAGGUGGGGGACGCUCUUACCGUAACAAAUGCAGAGCCCUGCAGGCUCCACCCAGUUCUUCAGACCUGCACACUCAUUGGCCUAUGCUUGGAGGUACAAACUAUGCCAGCUGAAGAUAAAUGCGAUAAGAGCCUCGAAAGCAGGAACUGAGUUGGCCUUAUUUUACUGCUGAAUAUUCCUAUGACCUAAGGCCCAAUGCAGCACUCGGGAAAUAGACGGUGCUUAGGAAACACUGUGGCUCAAUGACUGAUUAUUUCAUAAAUUGUGUGCUAUGUCAAAAGGUGUCUUAUUGGCAUGGCCUAUGCUGAAGACAGUAAUUGUACAUAAAAACUUUCUUUUUAA
Myodes glareolus (Bank vole) is the source of this 1345-nucleotide non-coding RNA. The record is from RefSeq and is a predicted model, not a curated record. Lineage: Eukaryota; Metazoa; Chordata; Mammalia; Rodentia; Cricetidae.